Long non-coding RNA from Exaiptasia diaphana, 358 nucleotides. RefSeq lists it as uncharacterized. The transcript has 3 exons. Lineage: Eukaryota; Metazoa; Cnidaria; Anthozoa; Actiniaria; Aiptasiidae. The record is from RefSeq and is a predicted model, not a curated record.
UCAAUUCUUUUUUUUUAAUCUAAUUUCCCUCAGGAAAUCRACACUAUAUUUUUCCAUUUGCGYGGCAUGCAAGCAAUGGGAGGUUACCUUGAAUCAUCAGUAAGGGUUAUGUCACAGACAGCAAGAUAUGAAGAAUACGAUUCAAACUACCUUCUUUAUGAAACUGUAGACUAUGCUUCUUGCUGGUAUAUCCUAUUAACAGGAUGUGUGUUCCUSGAUGGAUGCAUGUAUUUGCCUGGCAGCAGGUAAGAAAACGUUUCAAGACUUCAAGCUGUAGUUUGCGCACAUUUGCGAAGCACCAUUCAAAAAAUGCGCACAGCUUCGCACAGCUUUGCUUCUUGAAUUUUUUAUCUUGUUU